Molecule: non-coding RNA, 148 nt
Filed under: Pan troglodytes (chimpanzee)
Lineage: Eukaryota; Metazoa; Chordata; Mammalia; Primates; Hominidae
Source: Rfam by way of RNAcentral
GCCAGGUGUGGUGGUGGGCGCCUGUAGUCCCAGCUACUCAGGAGGCUGAGGCAGGAGAAUCGCUUGAACCUGGGAGGCCGAGGUUGCAGUGAGCCGAGAUUGUGCCACUGCACUCCAGCCUGGGUGACAAAGCGAGACUCUGUCUCAA